GGUGUACUCUUGUGGAGGCUCCAUUAUCAAGAAGAAACUGGAUUCUUACGGCUGCCCACUGCUUCUUCGAUCUAGACACCGGUCUGAGAGCGUCUUCCGUGGAAAUUCGUUACGGGUCUAUUAAUUACUUCUUAGGAACCUCCGUAACGUCAACAGACUUCAUCACGCAUGAAGAUUACGACAACGGAACAUGGGCCAACGACAUCGCGGUGGUGAGACUCCCUGAGCCGCUGCAGUACCAGAGCGACCCAAAUAUUCGACCGAUUUGCCUAGGGUUGGACGAGGACAAUCUCUUCUCCGGGAAGGGUGUGGCUACCGGUUGGGGCCGCCUGUCGUAUGGUAAGGGCGCU
Penaeus vannamei (Pacific white shrimp) is the source of this 350-nucleotide non-coding RNA. Lineage: Eukaryota; Metazoa; Arthropoda; Malacostraca; Decapoda; Penaeidae. The record is from RefSeq and is a predicted model, not a curated record.